This 460-nucleotide ribosomal RNA is filed under the name uncultured bacterium. RNAcentral's name for it is "partial 16S ribosomal RNA". It matches the Rfam family "Bacterial small subunit ribosomal RNA", at positions 29 to 506 of the family's 1533-position model. The record is from RNAcentral.
AUAAACGCUGGCGGCGUGCUUAACAUAUGCCAGUCGAACGAAGUUUUUCUUUCGGGAGGAACUUAGUGGCGGACGGGUGAGUAACGCGUGGGUAACCUGCCCUGUACAGGGGGACAACAGCUGGAAACGGCUGCUAAUACCGCAUAAGCCCUUAGCACUGCAUGGUGCAUAGGGAAAAGGAGCAAUCCGGUACAGGAUGGACCCGCGUCUGAUUAGCCAGUUGGCAGGGUAACGGCCUACCAAAGCGACGAUCAGUAGCCGAUCUGAGAGGAUGUACGGCCACAUUGGGACUGAGACACGGCCCAGACUCCUACGGGAGGCAGCAGUGGGGAAUAUUGCACAAUGGAGGAAACUCUGAUGCAGCGACGCCGCGUGAGUGAAGAAGUAUUUCGGUAUGUAAAGCUCUAUCAGCAGGAAAGAAAAUGACGGUACCUGACUAAGAAGCACCGGCUAAAUACGU